AAAUAUAUAAAGUUAAACAAUUUUAGAUACUUUUCGGAUAAUAAUAAUUGGAUUUGAGAUUGAUUCAGUAAUUUAUGAUAAAUUUUAAUUAGAUUUGAAAUAGAUUAGAAUGAAAAAAAAAAAUAUUAAACAGGUUCAGGUUAUAAAAAUAUUAUACAAAUUUGGGUUUGGGUAACAUAUUUUUCACAAGUUUCCUGCCCAUUGCCAUCCAUUAUUAAAAUGUAGUUUGACAUUUCCCAUGCUGGGUUUUCUAAUUCUUAGGUGGCUAACUUGAAGCAGACAAAUUAUGUGGCAAUUCAACUAAUUUCCCUCUUCUAAUCUUGCAGUUGUUUCAAGUAGUAGGAAAUUCUUAACCAUCCUUAGUGAGCUCCCAAACUCCCAAAUUUUUUUUUUACAUGUAUAUUUUCAUAAUUUUUUUUCCUAGAAAUAUAUAAUUGGCGCACCCUAGAGUUUGAAAAUCUCCCUAGUUCCUGCAACCCUGAAAGAUUUUAAAAUUUUCAUUAUUAUUUUAAUUUAUAAUCCCUUGUCCUGUGAAAAAUUUUAUGUACUUCCAAUAUUACCAUUACAUCUAGUUCCCUGAAAUCUGAAAAUUUUCAUUUUGGCCUUUAAAUGUGAAAAAUUUUUCAUUAAUACUAUUAUACUUCAUCCCUCCAAAGUUCAAUAAUAAAGUUCUGCAUCCUCCCUUGUUCACUGAUAUGCACACAAGCAUCUCUAAGAGGAACUAGGAAAAUGUGUGUUUGGGAGACUCUGCUGAGGUGAUUUACCUUGUCUGCGUACUUAGCUUCUGUGUAAUCCCCAAUCCUGUGAAGAUUUCUUCUUGUGAAACAAUUUUAUAUAAUAUGACUACAGUUUUUGUUUUCUAUUUCGCCUGGGCACAUUCGGCUUGCAAUUUAAGAUGUGGAACCCAUUUGAAGCAUUGGUUAAAACACUAAGUGCAGUAAGCAAGCUACUGCUCCAAGUGUCCCUGAUAAGGAAAUCAUUCUCGAGCCAUCACCAGCCAGAAUCAGGAAAAAGAAACUAUUUGAUUGUAAAGAAUUCUAAUUAAUGCUGUUUUGCUUCCACCAGAUCAUGCUGAUAUCCACGGUGUUAUAUCAUAUCAUUGUGUGACUUAGAAGGGUUAAUUGCUAAAAUCCCGUCAAGGUUUCAUGGUAAAAACACUUGCAUCCUUGCGGACUUCAGAACUUGUUCAACCAGAGUUGAAAUUCAAGAGCUCAAUUGUAACAAAAAUUUCAAUUUCUGGGACUAAAUGGAGUCCACUUUUUUUAGUUUCAUUCAUGGUCAUUGAAUUUGUUACUAAAUUUCAAGAUUGUUGCUAAAUUUCAAUUGCAUUAAGCAAAAUAUUCAAAUUUGAAUUGAAAAUUUUGUUUCAAUCACCACAAAUUUACAAUGCAUAUUUUAAAAUCUGGAGAAUGCACUGUUUUUGUCGUGAAAUGUCACAGAGUUCAUAAUUAUCCACUCAAGAAACCAUACUGGUACCUGGUCAAUUGCAUGUACAUAUAGACAAAUGUACAUUUUUUUUUUCACCAAUGCUUUGGUUUCUGUACUUUUACGGGGCAAACUUAUUUUGCCGAAACAAAUUGGAAAUGGAGUUGCUAUAUUGAAUCAAUUGAUUAUACUACUGUAUAGGAAAGUGGUGUAUUGAUGUUAUUGACAGGCUCUGUAGGGUUGUAGUAUUUGUUCAUUUGGGUUCACAAGUCAAUGCUUCACCUUCCAUUUCAUGUGU
This 1723-nucleotide unclassified non-coding RNA is filed under the name Hevea brasiliensis (rubber tree). Lineage: Eukaryota; Viridiplantae; Streptophyta; Magnoliopsida; Malpighiales; Euphorbiaceae. The record is from RNAcentral.